CCUACGGGGGGCAGCAGUGGGGAAUAUUGCGCAAUGGGGGAAACCCUGACGCAGCAACGCCGCGUGCGGGAUGAAGGCUUUCGGGUUGUAAACCGCUUUCAGCAGGGAAGAUAAUGACGGUACCUGCAGAAGAAGCCCCGGCUAACUACGUGCCAGCAGCCGCGGUAAUACGUAGGGGGCAAGCGUUAUCCGGAUUCAUUGGGCGUAAAGCGCGCGCAGGCGGGCCGCUAAGCGGGACCUCUAAUCUUGGGGCUCAACCUCAAGCCGGGUCCCGAACUGGCAGCCUCGAGUGCGGUAGGGGUAAG
RNAcentral lists this ribosomal RNA (305 nucleotides) under uncultured bacterium. RNAcentral describes it as "bacterial SSU rRNA". It matches the Rfam family "Bacterial small subunit ribosomal RNA", at positions 338 to 661 of the family's 1533-position model. The record is from RNAcentral.